CCUACGGGUGGCAGCAGUGGGGGAUAUUGCACAAUGGGGGGAACCCUGAUGCAGCGACGCCGCGUGGGUGAAGGAGUGCUUCGGCAUGUAAAGCCCUUUCGGCAGGGAAGAAGCAAGACGGUACCUGACCUAGAAGCCCCGGCUAAAUACGCGCCAGCAGCCGCGGUAAUCCGCAGGGGGCGAGCGUCAUCCGGAUUCACUGGGUGUAAAGGGAGCGGAGACGGUCAAGCAAGCCAGGGGUGAAAGUCCGGGGCCCAACCCCGGGACUGCCCUUGGAACUGCAUGGCUGGAGUGCGGGAGGGGGAGGCGGAAUUCCUGGUGUAGCGGUGAAAUGCGUAGAGAUCAGGAGGAACACCGGCGGCGAAGGCGGCCUACUGGACCGCGACUGACGUUGAGGCUCGAAAGCGUGGGGAGCGAACAGGAUUAGAUACCCGAGUAGUC
RNAcentral lists this ribosomal RNA (441 nucleotides) under uncultured bacterium. RNAcentral describes it as "partial 16S ribosomal RNA". It matches the Rfam family "Bacterial small subunit ribosomal RNA", at positions 338 to 795 of the family's 1533-position model. The record is from RNAcentral.